CCUCAGCUUACUAUUUUCUACCAAUUAAAUGAUUCUGAAUUCUCUGUUUGACACCAGCAACGAUAGCAUCACAAAAACAAGCUGACGAUUGGCAUUUUCAUCAACUUUUACCAUUUUCAUUGCGCUCCUGCUUUCUUAGCUUCUCUGUUCUCAUAUUCAGUUCUAAAUACUGUCAGUCAUUCUAGUUAUAGCUAUGAAGCUUCCCUCUAGUUUUUAACUCUCCCUGCAGCUCAAAAGUUGCUUCCUGCGUUAUCACUCAGACAUUUCCCCCAUCUUCCUCUACAUCAGGGGCAUCAAUUUCUUGACUAUCAAGGUUGAGGCACAACUUCAGCGGACUCUGGUAAUUGAAUGCAGUUCAACAGCACCCUAACAGAGCAUCCUUAUUGCUCUAAAACAGAGCACUCGUAGGUUACAUAUCGGAACCAACCGUGCCCAAAGCAGCUACAAUCA
RNAcentral lists this unclassified non-coding RNA (450 nucleotides) under Hevea brasiliensis (rubber tree). Lineage: Eukaryota; Viridiplantae; Streptophyta; Magnoliopsida; Malpighiales; Euphorbiaceae. The record is from RNAcentral.